AGAGUUUGAUCCUGGCUCAGAUUGAACGCUGGCGGCAGGCCUAACACAUGCAAGUCGAACGGUAGCACAGAGAGCUUGCUCUCGGGUGACGAGUGGCGGACGGGUGAGUAAUGUCUGGGAAACUGCCUGAUGGAGGGGGAUAACUACUGGAAACGGUAGCUAAUACCGCAUAACGUCGCAAGACCAAAGAGGGGGACCUUCGGGCCUCUUGCCAUCAGAUGUGCCCAGAUGGGAUUAGCUAGUAGGUGGGGUAACGGCUCACCUAGGCGACGAUCCCUAGCUGGUUUGAGAGGAUGACCAGCCACACUGGAACUGAGACACGGUCCAGACUCCUACGGGAGGCAGCAGUGGGGAAUAUUGCACAAUGGGCGCAAGCCUGAUGCAGCCAUGCCGCGUGUAUGAAGAAGGCCUUCGGGUUGUAAAGUACUUUCAGCGGGGAGGAAGGUGUUGUGGUUAAUAACCACAGCAAUUGACGUAC
Molecule: ribosomal RNA, 478 nt
Filed under: Enterobacteriaceae bacterium EF44
Lineage: Bacteria; Pseudomonadati; Pseudomonadota; Gammaproteobacteria; Enterobacterales; Enterobacteriaceae
Description: bacterial SSU rRNA
Rfam family: Bacterial small subunit ribosomal RNA
Source: RNAcentral